Molecule: non-coding RNA, 25 nt
Filed under: Rattus norvegicus (Norway rat)
Lineage: Eukaryota; Metazoa; Chordata; Mammalia; Rodentia; Muridae
Source: RNAcentral
CUCAUGGGAACUUCGCAAAGAUCAA